RNAcentral lists this long non-coding RNA (1357 nucleotides) under Sorghum bicolor (sorghum). RNAcentral describes it as "long non-coding RNA (SBIC_LNC016268)". Lineage: Eukaryota; Viridiplantae; Streptophyta; Magnoliopsida; Poales; Poaceae. The record is from RNAcentral.
GGUGUUGGUUUGAUUUGGAUCUUUUUCUUUGUUUAUUUGAUAAUUAAAUUUGGUACUUAAGGACCGUCAACAACUCCCCCAAGCUUACCUCUUGCUCGUCCCUGAGCAAGGAUGGACUUAAGAGUUUCUGCAGUGGUUUCAUGCCUUAAAGGUACACAUGCGUUCAAACAAGAUCUCAUCUCUGGCUUAGGGUAAACUGUUAAGAUUUAAACUUACUCAUAUUACCUUCCACCAUGGGGCUUACAACCGUCACUUGUGUCUUGAGCAGUUAAAAGAUAGAACGGUCAAGUCAAGCGCCAUGUCUCUUGUUAUUGAUCAACUAUAGUUCUGGAGCUUUUGCAGAUUUUCAAAUAAAACUCAGAGAUUCCUUAUAUGACUCUCUCAAUUCUCUCUUUUGUGGUAUUUCUGGAUCCUCACCAAGGCAUUGAUGAUAUAUGCCUUCUCUCAAAGCAUGUGGUAUUUUUGGUAUGAGGCAUAGUAACACUGCCUUCUCUCUCACCCUACUCUAAUAAGGUUUUGAUAUCUGGAGCUCAUAGGUGGGAGACAGCUAAUACAUACUUACAAGAUAUUUAUUGCAUAGUCAAACCAUGGAUCUAGAGAAACAAGUCAGUAAGUCAAAUCAAGAUGUGCAUGUGUGGCGAAUGAAUGGUGUAUGGUGAUGAUGGUGAUAAUGGUGAAAACAAUGGUGAAAGUCUAAUUCUACUUUUGCUCUUUUGAGGGGAUACAUUCCUUUCUUGCACUUUGAAGCUUUUUGAGGGGGAAUGAGAUACUCUAUAUUUUCUUUUUCUUUUCUCUCAGGUGGGUAUCUUGUACCCCUAAUUCUACUGUCCAACACUUGUCCAUUUUUACCUCUCGUCUCACUUUUUCUUUUCUUCGAGGUUCCGGGCACUUGCCCCUUUUUAUUUCCUCGUACUUUUCUUUUUUCUUCUCUCUCUUUUUUUAGAGCACUCACCCUCGUGGAAUAAUGUAGCAAGUGGUAGUAACCAAAAUAUCUCGACCAUUUAUUUCAUAGGGAAAAACAGGAAUAGGAUAAUGUUUUUGGCUAUUCUCUCCUGGAUAGGAGUAGAAUAAUUUUGGGUAAAUCUGGAGAUGGAAAUGAGUGGAUGUAUGUGGAUGCGUACUUCGUAGAAGCAGCAUGUAUGAGUGAACGUGCAAGUUGUUGACGGUCCUUAAUGCUCAUAUUUAACCAUCAACUAAUCAUGGAAAAGGACUUAUAUGCAACCAACACCUAGACUUAAGGUUUUAUGUGACAGAAUUCCACGAUUUUUGGUGUUUGUCUAUUUCUGCAGGGGGUCAUCAGGAAAUAAGGAAGAAAGGCCCACACGUCGGGUUUACAUAGAGGUAUUAACAUGCUGCA